CACGUAGGGUGCGAGCGUUGUCCGGAAUUAUUGGGCGUAAAGAGCUCGUAGGCGGUGUGUCGCGUCGGCCGUGAAAACCUGCAGCUUAACUGUGGGCUUGCGGUCGAUACGGGCAUCACUGGAGUUCGGCAGGGGAGACUGGAAUUCCUGGUGUAGUGGUGAAAUGCGCAGAUAUCAGGAGGAACACCGGUGGCGAAGGCGGGUCUCUGGGCCGAUACUGACGCUGAGGAGCGAAAGCGUGGGGAGCGAACAGG
This 254-nucleotide ribosomal RNA is filed under the name uncultured bacterium. Its description in RNAcentral is "partial 16S ribosomal RNA". It matches the Rfam family "Bacterial small subunit ribosomal RNA", at positions 524 to 776 of the family's 1533-position model. The record is from RNAcentral.